This 35-nucleotide ribosomal RNA is filed under the name Robinia pseudoacacia. Its description in RNAcentral is "partial 26S ribosomal RNA". The record is from RNAcentral. Lineage: Eukaryota; Viridiplantae; Streptophyta; Magnoliopsida; Fabales; Fabaceae.
GGAGACCUCAGGUCAGGCGGGGCUACCCGCUGAGU